Non-coding RNA from Rattus norvegicus (Norway rat), 72 nucleotides. Lineage: Eukaryota; Metazoa; Chordata; Mammalia; Rodentia; Muridae. The record is from Rfam.
UGGGGAAUAGCUCAGUGGUAGAGCGCUUGCCUAGGAAGCGCAAGGCCCUGGGUUCGGUCCCCAGCUCCGAAA